GCUGGCGGCGAACGGCUCAGUAACACGUAGUCAACCUGCCCUCGGGACGAGAACAAUCUCGGGAAACUGAGGCUAAUUCUCGAUAGGUCAAGAUUCCUGGAAUGGGUCUUGGUCUAAAGGCGGCGACGGCAUCUUGUCGCUAUCGCCCAAGGAUGGGACCGCGGCCGAUCAGGCUGUUGGUGGGGUAAAGGCCCACCAAACCAGUAACCGGUACGGGCUUUGAGAGAAGGAGCCGGGAGAUGGACACUGAGACAAGGGUCCAGGUCCUACGGGGCGCAGCAGGCGCGAAACCUUCGCAAUGCGCGCAAGCGCGACGAGGUUAUUCCGAGUGAUCUCCGCUGAGGAGAUCUUUUCUCAGAUCUAAAAAGUCUGGGGAAUAAGGGGAGGGCAAGUCUGGUGUCAGCCGCCGCGGUAAUACCAGCUCCUCGAGUGGUCAGGGCGUUUAUUGGGCCUAAAGCAUCCGUAGCCGGCUCAGUUGGUCUCCUGUUAAAUCCAACGGCUCAACCGUUGGUCUGCAGGAGAUACCGCUGGGCUAGGAGGCGGGAGAGGCGGACGGUACUCCGAGGGUAGGGGUAAAAUCCUUUGAUCCCCGGAAGACCACCAGUGGCGAAGGCGGUCCGCCAGAACGCGCUCGACGGUGAGGGAUGAAAGCUGGGGGAGCGAACCGGAUUAGAUACCCGGGUAGUCCCAGCCGUAAACGAUGCGAGCUAGGUGACACGACGCCUUCGGGGCAUCGUGGUGCCGCAGGGAAGCCGUUAAGCUCGCCGCCUGGGGAGU
Molecule: ribosomal RNA, 777 nt
Filed under: uncultured archaeon
Lineage: Archaea
Description: bacterial SSU rRNA
Rfam family: Archaeal small subunit ribosomal RNA
Source: RNAcentral